GUUAGUCCUAGCAGUAAACGAUGGCUACUAGGUGUGGGGGGUGUUGACCCCUUCCGUGCCGAAGCUAACGCAUUAAGUAGCCCGCCUGGGGAGUACGGUCGCAGGACUAAAACUCAAAGGAAUUGACGGGGCCCCGCACAAGCAGCGGAGCGUGUGGUUUAAUUCGAUGCAACGCGAAGAACCUUACCUGGGCUUGACAUCUAUUCGCAACACCGAGAAAUCGGUGCCUCCGCAAGGACGGAUAGACAGAUGUUGCAUGGCUGUCGUCAGCUCGUGUCGUGAGAUGUUGGGUUAAG
RNAcentral lists this ribosomal RNA (296 nucleotides) under uncultured bacterium. RNAcentral's name for it is "partial 16S ribosomal RNA". It matches the Rfam family "Bacterial small subunit ribosomal RNA", at positions 789 to 1084 of the family's 1533-position model. The record is from RNAcentral.